AUAUGUUUGGACAGAAUCAGAUCGGCAAAAGAGGACCCCCAUAUAUAUUUGGACAGAAUCAAAUCGGCAAAAGAGGAUCCCCAUAUAUGUUUGGAAAGAAUCAAAUUGGUGGCACAGAAAGCACGAAAUAGAUGCAUUAGGUCAACCCUGCAAGAACGAGAUUCAAGAUUACCAGCUUUAUCUCGGGAUGAUUCUAGCGGAGAAGAAUGCCUACUGUUAAACCAAGGAAGCUAAGGCUCGRUCGACGGCUCUCGGAACCUGAACCGAAAAUAGAAAUGAAGAACUACAUAUAUUACUUUAUUUUAAUAAACUUGAAAUAUAUUAUCAGAUAUUAAAGAAUUAUGAAAUAUUAAUAUAUACAAUAACUAAAUAACUACUUAGAUUUAUUUUGAUAAACUUGAAAAUAUAUGUUCAGAUAUAUAUCAGAUUAAUGAAAUAUUCAUAUAUACAUAYGAAAUA
Actinia tenebrosa (Australian red waratah sea anemone) is the source of this 459-nucleotide long non-coding RNA. Lineage: Eukaryota; Metazoa; Cnidaria; Anthozoa; Actiniaria; Actiniidae. The record is from RefSeq and is a predicted model, not a curated record.